GACUGUUAUAUUUCUUUGCAUUGUUCUUUUUACCUAUAUUCUGAUCUUGGAAGAAGUGGAAUCGAAGAGUUGGUGGCGGAGGAACUGUAGAUGUCGUUGUGGUCCGAGGGGCUGUGGAUGCACGUGCAGUGCAGGGAAAAAGAGGAAUGCGGAGCAAGUUGCAAAAAGAUUUCCUCAACCAGAUGACGGUGCUCAGCUUGAGGAUUUGACCUCGGACGAAUGAAGGGAUUGAAAGAACACGAGUUGUUCGCUAAUACAUAUAUAUUCCUUGUUUCUUUGGAAGUUCAUGUAAUAAAAUUGAA
Saccostrea echinata is the source of this 302-nucleotide long non-coding RNA. RefSeq lists it as uncharacterized. The transcript has 3 exons. The record is from RefSeq and is a predicted model, not a curated record. Lineage: Eukaryota; Metazoa; Mollusca; Bivalvia; Ostreida; Ostreidae.